Molecule: ribosomal RNA, 305 nt
Filed under: uncultured bacterium
Lineage: Bacteria
Description: partial 16S ribosomal RNA
Rfam family: Bacterial small subunit ribosomal RNA
Source: RNAcentral
ACAGCAGCCGCCACGGUAAUACGAAGGGUGCAAGCGUUAAUCGGAAUUACUGGGCGUAAAGCGUGCGUAGGCGGUGAGUUAAGUCUGCUGUGAAAUCCCCGGGCUCAACCUGGGAAUGGCAGUGGAUACUGGCUCGCUAGAGUGUGUCAGAGGAUGGUGGAAUUCCCGGUGUAGCGGCGAAAUGCGUAUAGAUCGGGAGGAACAUCAGUGGCGAAGGCGGCCAUCUGGGACAACACUGACGCUGAGGCACGAAAGCGUGGGGAGCAAACAGGAUUAGAUACCCCGGUAGUCCCUGUCUCUUAUAC